UCUUAAUCAUACCUUAUCCUUUUUACUUAUGCAUGCCGAUCUGAGGCGAUCAUUUGUUAGUGCCGCUCCAGAGUAAUUAGCUGAGGUACUACUUCAACUGCUUAAAUAUCUUCUGGCACUCAACAAUCCACUGAAAGUCACUUGACUAUCUGAGGGUUCUAAAGAAGGGGAGACAUCUCUUAGCCAACCUGGAGACAAAGUGAUUGAGCGAGGUGAUCUUGCUAGUGAGGUGCUGCAC
This 238-nucleotide long non-coding RNA is filed under the name Elaeis guineensis (African oil palm). RNAcentral's name for it is "long non-coding RNA (EGUI_LNC023624)". Lineage: Eukaryota; Viridiplantae; Streptophyta; Magnoliopsida; Arecales; Arecaceae. The record is from RNAcentral.